AACCCAGUGAUAGCAUAGCUGGUAGAGCUUCGGACUCGUAAUUCAAGGGUAGUGUGUUCAAUACACGCCCAUGUCAGGUUU
This is a non-coding RNA of Potamilus streckersoni, 81 nucleotides long. Lineage: Eukaryota; Metazoa; Mollusca; Bivalvia; Unionida; Unionidae. The record is from the annotation of a GenBank genome assembly.